Long non-coding RNA from Xiphias gladius (swordfish), 469 nucleotides. RefSeq lists it as uncharacterized. The record is from RefSeq and is a predicted model, not a curated record. The transcript has 3 exons. Lineage: Eukaryota; Metazoa; Chordata; Actinopteri; Istiophoriformes; Xiphiidae.
UCCAUUGAGGUGGCCAGCGCUGCGGGAACCAUCUCUACCAGAGUAACAGGAACACCGGAGCUGGCUUUCACACAAAAAACAAAAACAAAACACAAAAGAACAACUUCUGAAAUGGAGUGGCCUACAUGUACCAGGGCUCAGUGUGACUCAAAUUAAAGGGACACUUCUUCAAUCGGUCUUUUGAGUAUCAAAGACCAAUCUCCCGCUGACUUGAAAGGCAACAGUCGGAAGACAAGAGAGAUAACCUUCAACUGUAGGACUUCAAAGCACCUGACAGAUGUGGAUAACAGUAUGCGCAGUUGCUGCCAGUGAGUAGGCAGGCUUGCAGACUGCGUCGUUGCCUCUUCAGGAAGACCUUUGCUUUUCAACGAAGAGAACAAAAGUGUGUGUGUGUGUGUGUGUGUGUGCGUGAGAAAUAAAACGACGGAACACACUCCUACGUGUGUGACGCGCUGUACAGACCUGCACU